AAUAUUGCACAAUGGGCGAAAGCCUGAUGCAGCAACGCCGCGUGAGCGAAGAAGGCCUUUGGGUCGUAAAGCUCUGUCGGGUAGGAAGAUAAUGACGGUACUACCCGAGGAAGCCCCGGCUAACUACGUGCCAGCAGCCGCGGUAAUACGUAGGGGGCAAGCGUUGUCCGGAAUUAUUGGGCGUAAAGGGUGCGUAGGCGGCCUUUUAAGUCAGGUGUGAAAGCCCACGGCUUAACCGUGGGAUUGCAUUUGAACCUGGAAGGCUUGAGUAUCGGAGAGGGUAGUGGAAUUCCCAGUGUAGCGGUGGAAUGCGUAGAUAUUGGGAGGAACACCAGUGGCGAAGGCGACUACCUGGACGAAAACUGACGCUGAGGCACGAAAGCUAGGGGAGCAAAC
Molecule: ribosomal RNA, 396 nt
Filed under: uncultured bacterium
Lineage: Bacteria
Description: partial 16S ribosomal RNA
Rfam family: Bacterial small subunit ribosomal RNA
Source: RNAcentral